This 180-nucleotide ribosomal RNA is filed under the name uncultured Glomeromycotina. RNAcentral describes it as "partial small subunit ribosomal RNA". The stretch from base 91 to 180 matches the Rfam family "Eukaryotic small subunit ribosomal RNA", at positions 738 to 830 of the family's 1831-position model. The record is from RNAcentral. Lineage: Eukaryota; Fungi; Glomeromycota.
GGCUUGGCUGGGUGGUCCGCCUCACGGUGUGUACUGCCUGGCUGAGCCUUACCUCUUGGUGAGCCUGUAUGCCCUUUAUUGGGUGUGCAGGGGAACCAGGAAUUUUACUUUGAAAAAAUUAGAGUGUUCAAAGCAGGCAUUUGCCCGAAUACAUUAGCAUGGAAUAAUAGAAUAGGACGU